Molecule: ribosomal RNA, 585 nt
Filed under: uncultured bacterium
Lineage: Bacteria
Description: partial 16S ribosomal RNA
Rfam family: Bacterial small subunit ribosomal RNA
Source: RNAcentral
UGGGGAAUUUUGGACAAUGGGCGAAAGCCUGAUCCAGCAAUGCCGCGUGUGUGAAGAAGGCCUUCGGGUUGUAAAGCACUUUUGUCCGGAAAGAAAUCCUUGGCUCUAAUACAGUCGGGGGAUGACAGUACCGGAAGAAUAAGCACCGGCUAACUACGUGCCAGCAGCCGCGGUAAUACGUAGGGUGCAAGCGUUAAUCGGAAUUACUGGGCGUAAAGCGUGCGCAGGCGGUUUGCUAAGACCGAUGUGAAAUCCCCGGGCUCAACCUGGGAACUGCAUUGGUGACUGGCAGGCUAGAGUAUGGCAGAGGGGGGUAGAAUUCCACGUGUAGCAGUGAAAUGCGUAGAGAUGUGGAGGAAUACCGAUGGCGAAGGCAGCCCCCUGGGCCAAUACUGACGCUCAUGCACGAAAGCGUGGGGAGCAAACAGGAUUAGAUACCCUGGUAGUCCACGCCCUAAACGAUGUCAACUAGUUGUUGGGGAUUCAUUUCCUUAGUAACGUAGCUAACGCGUGAAGUUGACCGCCUGGGGAGUACGGUCGCAAGAUUAAAACUCAAAGGAAUUGACGGGGUCAUAGCUGUUUCCU